Molecule: ribosomal RNA, 292 nt
Filed under: uncultured bacterium
Lineage: Bacteria
Description: partial 16S ribosomal RNA
Rfam family: Bacterial small subunit ribosomal RNA
Source: RNAcentral
GUGCCAGCAGCCGCGGUAAUACGGAGGGUGCGAGCGUUGUCCGGAAUCACUGGGCGUAAAGGGCGCGUAGGCGGUUCGCUAAGUGGCUGGUGAAAUCCCGGGGCUCAACUCCGGGGCUGCCGGUCAGACUGGCGGACUAGAGCACGGUAGAGGCGGAUGGAAUUCCCGGUGUAGCGGUGGAAUGCGUAGAUAUCGGGAAGAAUACCGGUGGCGAAGGCGUUCCGCUGGGCCGUUGCUGACGCUGAGGCGCGACAGCGUGGGGAGCAAACAGGAUUAGAUACCCCCGUAGUCC